RNAcentral lists this ribosomal RNA (447 nucleotides) under uncultured bacterium. RNAcentral describes it as "SSU rRNA". It matches the Rfam family "Bacterial small subunit ribosomal RNA", at positions 26 to 518 of the family's 1533-position model. The record is from RNAcentral.
AGAACGAACGCUGGCGGCAGGCUUAACACAUGCAAGUCGAACGCUCGUAGCAAUACGGGAGUGGCAGACGGGUGAGUAACGCGUGGAAACAUACCCUCCGGUUCGGAAUAGCUCAGGGAAACUUGGAUUAAUACCGGAUACGGCCGAGAGGCGAAGGAUUUAUCGCCGGAGGAUUGGCCCGCGUUCGAUUAGCUAGUUGGUGAGGUAACGGCUCACCAAGGCGAUGAUCGAUAGCUGGUCUGAGAGGAUGAUCAGCCACAUUGGGACUGAGACACGGCCCAAACUCCUACGGGAGGCAGCAGUGGGGAAUAUUGGACAAUGGGCGCAAGCCUGAUCCAGCCAUGCCGCGUGAGUGAUGACGGCCUUAGGGUUGUAAAGCUCUUUCGCUCGGACGAUAAUGACGGUACCUAGACAAGACGCCCCGGCUAACUUCGUGCCAGCAGCCGC